CAUGCUUUUUCUCUCUUCUCCAAAUAUUCAAGAACUGAUUUUUACAUAAUUGUUUUCUUGAAUCUUUGAAAACGUGAACUUGGUUUAUUAUUUUCCAAGUCAGAUGUUGUCUUCCUUAAGCUGGAAUUGAGUUAGAAAAACCCAAAAUGAGAGGAAGCAUAGUUGGUGUCUCACCUAGUCCUAUUGAACCUAGACAGAGGCUCUCUGUAUCCACAGGUUGUUAUACGAAGUUACACCACGUAAAUGCAACGGGAUUUUGCGAUUCUAAGGGAGUACGGUGCAAUCUUCCUCAAGAAUAUCAUAUGGAUUUCCCCCUACUUCGAUCUGCCAUUACAUGUUAUCGCAAUUGACGUGUAUUAGAUGGAUUUCCAAGAAAAUUGGUUCAGGCCCCGAUAAACAGGUCGAGAGUCUACCAAGUAGGUGAUCAACUCAGCGGAAGAUGUUGGUGCACUCCAUUUGCUCCGGAGUUGCUUGUUUGGCCCCGAUAGACAGGUCGAGAGUCCUCCAAUUAGGUGAUCAGCUCAGCGGAAGAUGUUGGUGCAUUCUAUUUGCUUUGAAGUUGAUUGUUUGGUUAGUAUGAUUUAAAUGUGUAUUGUUUGGUAUGGCAAGGCUCUUUCCCGACUUUUAUAAUACUAUGUAUUCUUAGAGGCUUGUAGAUAGAUGUCAUGUAUAAGGAUUCUUGUAUGGACUUGUCGUCCUAUGUUUUGAGUAUAUAAAGGAUCAUGCCGGCCCUAUAGGCUCGUAUGUCA
This is a long non-coding RNA of Nicotiana tabacum (common tobacco), 749 nucleotides long. RefSeq lists it as uncharacterized. NCBI's taxonomy places the organism in Eukaryota, Viridiplantae, Streptophyta, Magnoliopsida, Solanales, Solanaceae. The record is from RefSeq and is a predicted model, not a curated record.